UCCCUAAUUUUAGUUUUAUCGGAAAUAACGAGGAGAUACAGAGAGGCGAUUUCGGACUCCAUCUUCUCCAGGCAAUUUCGGACUCGAUCCAAGCAUCCAUCAACACUUUCUCUAAAUCUGAAAAUCGUUAAUUGGAAGGCUUAAUUUCGGACUCCAGGCUCAACAACAGAGGCGGUGUACUAAUUAAUCCUUUAGAGUUUCUCCAAUCGGCGGUUGUGACUUCAGCUGGGCUUUACUAUUGGAGUGCUUCAGCUGGGCUUUACUAUUGGAGUGCUAAAUUAUCUGGAACUUACUUCGGCCCGUUUGCUUCUUGGAUUACUGGGACUAGGGGAAUCCUUGCUGAUAUUUGUUGAUACCUGCUGCAAUUCAGCCAUUGUCUGAUGACUCUACCACUCUUCUUUUUAGCUGAUUCAUUCAUCUCUUUUUGGCAUAUCAUUUCUGCCAUCUUGGAAAAUUCCAUUUGGCAUUUUGAUUUAAAAUAUUAUCAUGUUGUUCUCACAAAUAAUAUUGACAUACCUUGCACUUACUAUAAGGUUACUGCAGCCCAUGUAUUUUCAUUAAUUGCUUUGAACUCUUCUUCUCUGCCUUGUUUUCCUCUAUGUUCUUGGUCGUCUCCUUGUUUCACACUUACUGAUUUACUCACUGAAAGUGACAAUCAGUAGAGAGAUGGAAUAAGGGUAUAAAUAAAAGUGAGAACAGUUGUAAAUAUAAUGUGAUUUAUAAGCAGAAACUUUACAACCCCUAAUCAAACCACCCUAUUACCUCUCUACUGGUAACACAGGGAAAUGUUAUCUAUCCAAAUUUUUUUUUACAGAUAGAAAAGAAAAUAAUGGUUGACCAUGACUUGAAGAAAAAUGGGAUUCUUGUAGUAUAGCACUUCAAUACUACAAGGAGAUAUUAUUAGAUGCCCGCAUGCAUGAGAAAGGGGAUUACAUGCCUUAUUCACUGUCGUGAAAUGCAUUAGAUAUUAGAUAUGAUUUGCCUGUUAAUUCUGUAUUAAUCUGUUUGACUCUAAUUAGCAGCCUGCAUAUGUAGAGUGACAGACUGAUUGAGCCUUUCAGGACUAUUUGACCCUUUUUGUGUAUAUGUUUCUGUAUUACUGGAGCAAAUUAUAAUUGCAGUAGAUAUGUUUCUGACACUUGGAUAUCAAUUUUACUGCAUUGCACUACUACCAGUAGAAGACACUCCAAACGGGUCAAAAGAAUUAACAGGGAUUCUCUAAGGUGUCAUUGCAGAAUUUGCCAAUUCUUGUUUAAACUUGAGCUCAGGUGUGCUUUUACCAAUCAGUGCCAACUUUAUCUCAUGGCUGGUUUUUGUUUAUUGUUUUGCUCUUCUUUUAUUUAGAUCUCUGGAUAUUUUGUUUAAUUAAGUUAUACUUCAGUUAGGACCUAUAAUAAGAACUUAAUGAAUCAAUGCCUUAUAAUUAAGUCUUUUCAGAUUGGAGAUUUAAUUUAAUUUUUUUGAUACAGUAUAUAAAUAUACAUAAUGUCAUGCGAGAAUUAUAUGAUUCCUACAUGUCUGUCAUGUUAGCUUAAAUAAAAAUCAUGUAUUGAGUUUUAUUGGUAUAUUAUGCUAGUACACUUAUCUAUAUUCCCAAUUGUUGGCUUAAUGUAACGUGUUUACCUUGUCAAAUCAGAGAAAAUAUCUUUCACCUACUAGGCCUGCUCUUAACUAUGCUGAAGCAUUUAUUAAAAGUGUCUGUGAAUUGUCUUUAUGAUAGCAAUACCCAUUCUUAUGCAAUUUGAUUCUAUUAGAUCCUUUGUUCCAUGGAUAAGAAAAUGGUAGCAGAUUAUUUAACUGGUUUUAUAGCAAUUAAUUAGUUGAUCUUGUAUUUUCCACGUCAGGAUUACUAUAGAAAGUCUCAUGUCUUUAACCUGAUAGACAAUGGUUUAAGUUUCUCUCUUUCAACUGCUUUGUGUUCUUUCACUGGAAUCUUUGCAUUUGAAUUGGGUUAGCAGAUUCAUAGAUGUGUUAUUCCAAAAGCUCAUGAUUGGGUUAGCAGAUUCAUAUACAUUUUUAGAGGUAAAGGCAGUUGGUGCGCCCACACCUGACUUCUCCUCGCAUGUCCACCUCUAGCCAAAUGUAUGCUUUUUCUGCUCAUGGUUGUUUUUACUGCUUUUUCUGUAGAAAUUUAUGGAAGAUGAAUUGUUACUUGGAGAGAAAUUUCAAAGAAGAGUCCUUGUUAUUUUGGCUUUCACACCCUAAUCUGCCAAAAAAAAAAUCUUUUGAUCGUAAUAUAGAGCGGCUAUUGUCCAAACUUAAGGUGAAAUGGAUAGUCAUAAGUGUGCGAAAUAAGGCGUUACCUCUGUUUUGGAGUCUACUGUUUUCUUCAAAUGGAAAUGCAUUUUAAUCCAACUUAAUAUAUCAUCUGUAAAGGCUUCAAGUCAAAUUUUCUCUUGUUAACAUUAAAUGUUUCCUUUUCUUUGUUUGCUCCACGUUGUUUUGACACAAAAGUAACUUGUUCCAGGUACACGUGAGACUUGACUAAAUUGUGCAAGCCAAAAUGUUCUGUUUCUAGUGUAAAUGCAGUGUGUUCAGGAGAUGAGAUUGCAGGAAGCCCGUACUUAAUGGACUCUAUUCCCAGCAGCAGUGAUAAGAAAACUUUGAAGAGGUGGUUUUUCAUUGACAAAAGGGUCGGUUAAAAGAUUCGGUACUCUUAUACAUCCAAUAGUAAGAAGUCCCAACUGCAUAGCUGUCAAUCACAAAGUCAAUAUCAGCCAAAUCCAUAUUGUUUCAAUGGACUUGAAUUCGACAAACGCCUCUCCAGUUCUAACGGAUCCUUCGCCAUUGAACAAGUCUAGAUUGGGGAUCCAUUCUAGUUUGUUGCCUUACUCACAAUCUGGGCCCUCAUUCUCCACUAGCGUGCUAACAAUUCCUAGAAAGAAGCCAGCGAAGCUUGAUGAUGUUCGAUCCAACGGUUAGCUCGACGCAAUGAUGUCUUCUUCACCUCAUAGGAAGAAGAUUCUGAAGGAAGUAAACAUUGGUGUUUCUUCCGAUGAUGCUGAUGUUACUUACCUCUCUUGGGAGAUCAAGUAUCCAUCAGCUCUCAACUCCUUUCAGCAAAUUAUGAGGCAAGCAAGGAAUAAACAGAUAGUCAUCUUCUUAGAUUAUGAUGGGACUCUUUCUCCUAUUGUUGAUGACCCUGACCGUGCUUUUAUAUCCAAUGAGAUGCGCUCUGCUGUCAGGAAUGUUGCAAAGUAUUUCCCAACAGCCAUCAUCAGUGGAAGAAGACGUGACAAGG
Nicotiana attenuata is the source of this 3241-nucleotide long non-coding RNA. RefSeq lists it as uncharacterized. The record is from RefSeq and is a predicted model, not a curated record. The transcript is spliced from 6 exons. Lineage: Eukaryota; Viridiplantae; Streptophyta; Magnoliopsida; Solanales; Solanaceae.